GAGAAAACAAAACUAAAACGGAAGAGUGGAUAUCUGUUAGCCGGUUAAUUCAAAAGACAAGACAGCCCGGAACCGGCGUCUUCCAAUACAAGCUUGAUACAUGUGGCAUGAGUAGAAGGCCCGCUAAUUUUAGCCAUGGUGGGUUACCAUAUUGGGCGAGAGAAUGGGAGGUGCGCAGCCGGCUGACAUGCGCAGACGUUCUCGAGCUGCUACUGCAGGUCACUUCAAGGUGCCAAAAUGCUGUAGUGUCUGCUGGACCAUUGAAGAUACUACAUUCUUCAAGAUGAGAGACUGGAUAGCGUCAUGAUCAAAUGGUACUAAUGUGUCCACCAGAGGGCAAUAAAUCAUGAAACUCUUAUUGUGCAGAUGAUGAUAGAAAUGAUUCCAACUGAGCUUUUCUGAAUAUUUGUAAUAUUUGAUAGCAGUAGAAUGAUUAUCUUUACUUCACUUAAUGUGUCAUACAA
Long non-coding RNA from Xyrauchen texanus (razorback sucker), 464 nucleotides. RefSeq lists it as uncharacterized. The record is from RefSeq and is a predicted model, not a curated record. Lineage: Eukaryota; Metazoa; Chordata; Actinopteri; Cypriniformes; Catostomidae. The transcript is spliced from 3 exons.